This 440-nucleotide ribosomal RNA is filed under the name uncultured bacterium. Its description in RNAcentral is "partial 16S ribosomal RNA". It matches the Rfam family "Bacterial small subunit ribosomal RNA", at positions 338 to 795 of the family's 1533-position model. The record is from RNAcentral.
CCUACGGGUGGCAGCAGUGGGGAAUAUUGCACAAUGGGGGAAACCCUGAUGCAGCGACGCCGCGUGAGUGAAGAAGUAAUUCGUUAUGUAAAGCCCUAUCAGCAGGGAAGAAAAUGACGGUACCUGAGUAAGAAGCCCCGGCUAACUACGUGCCAGCAGCCGCGGUAAUACGUAGGGGCCAAGCGUUAUCCGGUUUUACUGGGUGGAAAGGGAGCGUAGACGGGAGUGCAAGUCUGGAGUGAAAGGCGGGGGCUCAACCCCCGGACUGCUCUGGAAACUGUACGGCUGGAGUGCAGGAGAGGUAGGUGGAAUUACUAGGGUAGCGGUGAAAUGCGUAGAUAUUAGGAGGAACACCAGUGGCGAAGGCGGCUUACUGGACUGUAACUGACGUUGAGGCUCGAAAGCGUGGGGAGCAAACAGGAUUAGAUACCCGUGUAGUC